GAAAAUGCCAAAUCUAAUUUUCCUUCUCCCAAUUUCACUCUUCCUCUAAAUCCCUAGUUUCAACCUCACACGAUUUUUUUGCUUUCGCUCUCCAAAUUCGCUUUCCAAAUUCUCAUUCUCUCGCCGCCAUUUCGUCUUGUCUUCUCUCUCGCAUCUCAACUUCGCCAGUUACAUUUGGAUUGGAUUGGAUUGGAUUGCAAUUUCCUGUUACGCUCGCUCGUGUUCUACUUGCGGUGUUAAAUUCACACCUGAAAAUGUAGAAGACGAGAAAUCACAUGCGCAAUUUCACAAAAGUUUCAAACAAGGAAUCCAAUUCAGAGGUUUGACUAAUGAAAGGAUUAUUUCUUCUCAUAAGAGUGGUGGAAUUAUUUUGGUGUCUAAUACUGAGCAAUCUUCUCAUAGAAACCAUCAGCAUUGGUAGCUUGAAGAAGUUGUGAAGAUGAUGGAAAUUGAGUCAGGAAGGGAUAGCUCAUCAGCACUGUAAGGACAGUAAGUUGAUAGCUUUAACUUACCAGACAUGCCGACUAUCGGAGCAGAUUUGCUGAGAGUUUUUGGUCUCCCUCGCCUUUUGUCUUCAGAUCCUGCCUUUUCGAAUUUCUAGUAAUCCUCACUUGCUAAUUAAUUUCAUUUUUGUGUUCAAUUUCUUAAUCAGAUGAAUUCUGUAAAACUAUCCUAGAAUUAUAAUAUAGUAUUGAGACUAAUAUAACUGAAUGUAAAUCUUGUUGUUUGGUAAUUUUAUUUUUCAAAACCCUUUAUGGUUAGAAGCAGCUUGGAAACUACCCUUCAAAAGUCAUGUAAGCUUUUGGUCAAAAAAUAAGUCAGAUAAGCUUCAAUUCUUUAAUUAAAAUCUUUUUCAGUUUCAUAUACUUAAAAUGAGCUAAAAUUCAUAUAGCCACAAUAGUAAGAGAUCAGAACAGAACUUCAUAUACACUAUAUUAUAAAGACGUGUUAAUCUCUAACUAUAAAGAAACGACUAAUCAAUUCUCACUUUGUCCAUCUUAUAUUAUAUGGUAAGACAUAAGGUACCCUAAAUAUGAUAACUUUGGCCCAAUAGUCCUUUAUGUGAAAAUUUGUGUCAUGUCCUGUGUUUGUGAUUGAUUCAUGUAAAGUGAGAUACUAGUAGGAAACAAUUGUAUUUUGAGUGAACUAUAUGUACAAAGCAAAAUAAGUUACCUUUGACCAAAUGAAUUCUUUAUACAGUUUUCUUGACCUCGUAUCACUUGUUAAAGCUAUCCAAUUUUCUUCACACUCUGCACUGUACUUAUUAUGUGGAUGUGUCUGAAUCAGACCCAGAUUUUGACGUGUUUGUUUCUUUGUUUGUUCACUUGUGUAGGAUUUGAUUGUAGAAGUUUACAGUAGAAGUUUAUUGCAGUGUGUGCAAGCAUUCAUGGCCACUCACUUAUCGGUAAAGACAAUGCCACACACCUAUUACAAAUAUCUUAUUGUGUUAUUUGAGCUUUGAUGUAGUAAAAAUAGAAGCUGCCAGUAUCAUGGAAAUGAAGACUUACAAUACAGAAGUUGUUUUCCUAAAAUAUUGAUGCACCCAAACAAUUUACAAUGGUUGCAUUAGUUUGAUGAUGGAAACUCACCAAUGAAGAUUGUUGUUUGUGCCCCAUAUAUCAGGGAAACACCAUAGAGCUGAAAUGGUAGACAAUUGAAGACUAUGAGAAGUUAAUUUGUGCAUCAAAUGGAGAGUCACUUUUUGUCAUGGAGGAACCACGUUCGGCUCGAGAGAAGAACCACGUUUAUUUAGGAAGCAAUUAAUGUGUGAUUGCUUGAUAUGAGAGUCACUUGAUGUAUAUAUAUAGCCGUUAUAAUUAUAUUGAAAAUUUGAUUGUAAACUUUAGUUUCAAGAACAAUGGUAACACCGGUGAAGAUUUCUUUGUAUUUUGGUGAAAUAUGUGAUCCCCAUGGAUUGAAUUAAAAAAUGUUUCCAUAUUAAUUUUUUA
Trifolium pratense (red clover) is the source of this 1949-nucleotide long non-coding RNA. RefSeq lists it as uncharacterized. The record is from RefSeq and is a predicted model, not a curated record. The transcript has 5 exons. Lineage: Eukaryota; Viridiplantae; Streptophyta; Magnoliopsida; Fabales; Fabaceae.